AGGAGGAGAGAGCCUGGGAAACUGAAUCUUGAGUGAAGUGGAGCAUAGCUGAGAUCCCUAUGAAGCAGAAAACAGUUUCCACAGAGAAAGCUCUCUUCCUGAUGAUUCUAUCCUAAAGAAGAACAAUAGAAAAGGGAAGAAAAAUACUUUCUGCCAACCUAAGCUUUAAUUUUAAAAAGUGAAUGUUGAUGAAGCAAGCAAAACCAGAAAACAUUGUAGACAGCAACAAGAAGAUUGGGUGGAUGAUCAAUUAUGAUGAGAUUUGGUUCUUCUGGGAAAUUCCAGUGAUCCAAAGCAAUUCUAAUAAAUUCGGGAUGGAAUUCAGAGAGAAAACUUUGGAGACUGAAUGUGGAUCAAUGCAUCUAUUUUCACCCUUUUCUUUUUUGUUUUUUUUUUCCCUCAAGGGUUUUCCCUAUUGUUCUGAUUGUUUUCUCCCAACAUGACUCAUAUGGAAAUAUGCAAAACAAUGAAUGUACAUGUAUAAGCUAAAACAAAUUAAAAAUAUUUAAAGAAUAAAAUUAAAAAGCAGAUGUUGAAAACUAUCUUUACAUGAAAUUGGGA
Molecule: long non-coding RNA, 561 nt
Filed under: Sarcophilus harrisii (Tasmanian devil)
Lineage: Eukaryota; Metazoa; Chordata; Mammalia; Dasyuromorphia; Dasyuridae
Description: lncRNA (ENSSHAG00000028988.1)
Source: RNAcentral